This 390-nucleotide ribosomal RNA is filed under the name Lutibacter sp. RNAcentral's name for it is "bacterial SSU rRNA". It matches the Rfam family "Bacterial small subunit ribosomal RNA", at positions 1 to 381 of the family's 1533-position model. The record is from RNAcentral. Lineage: Bacteria; Pseudomonadati; Bacteroidota; Flavobacteriia; Flavobacteriales; Flavobacteriaceae.
UUUAUACGAUGAAGAGUUUGAUCCUGGCUCAGGAUGAACGCUAGCGGCAGGCUUAACACAUGCAAGUCGAGGGGUAACAUUGAUUGCUUGCAAUCAGAUGACGACCGGCGCACGGGUGCGUAACGCGUAUACAAUCUACCUUUUACUGGGGAAUAGCCCGAAGAAAUUCGGAUUAAUGCCCCAUAACAUUGAUUUUCGGCAUCGGAAAUUGAUUAAAGUUUCGACGGUAAAAGAUGAGUAUGCGUUUUAUUAGUUAGUUGGUAAGGUAAUGGCUUACCAAGACUACGAUAAAUAGGGGUCCUGAGAGGGAGAUCCCCCACACUGGUACUGAGACACGGACCAGACUCCUACGGGAGGCAGCAGUGAGGAAUAUUGGACAAUGGAGGCAAC